ACGCACGCUGGCGGCGUGCUUAACACAUGCAAGUCGAACGGUGAAGCUCCAGCUUGCUGGAGUGGAUCAGUGGCGAACGGGUGAGUAACACGUGAGCAACCUGCCCCUGACUCUGGAAUAAGCGCUGGAAACGGCGUCUAAUACUGGAUACGAGAAGGGUCCGCAUGGGCACUUUCUGGAAAGUUUUUCGGUUGGGGAUGGGCUCGCGGCCUAUCAGCUUGUUGGUGAGGUAAUGGCUCACCAAGGCGACGACGGGUAGCCGGCCUGAGAGGGCGACCGGCCACACUGGGACUGAGACACGGCCCAGACUCCUACGGGAGGCAGCAGUGGGGAAUAUUGCACAAUGGGCGAAGGCCUGAUGCAGCGACGCCGCGUGAGGGAUGACGGCCUUCGGGUUGUAAACCUCUUUCAGCAGGGAAGAAGCGAAAGUGACGGUACCUGCAGAAGAAGCACCGGCUAACUACGUG
RNAcentral lists this ribosomal RNA (467 nucleotides) under uncultured bacterium. RNAcentral describes it as "partial 16S ribosomal RNA". It matches the Rfam family "Bacterial small subunit ribosomal RNA", at positions 29 to 507 of the family's 1533-position model. The record is from RNAcentral.